RNAcentral lists this transfer RNA (77 nucleotides) under Burkholderiales bacterium. Its description in RNAcentral is "tRNA-Arg". It matches the Rfam family "tRNA". From Rfam's summary of the family: Transfer RNA (tRNA) molecules are approximately 80 nucleotides in length. Their secondary structure includes four short double-helical elements and three loops (D, anti-codon, and T loops). Lineage: Bacteria; Pseudomonadati; Pseudomonadota; Betaproteobacteria; Burkholderiales. RNAcentral also lists the same sequence under 1 other name. The record is from RNAcentral.
CUGCCCGUAACUCAGCUGGAUAGAGUAGCUGCCUUCUAAGCAGCCGGUCGGGGGUUCGAGUCCCUCCGGGCAGGCCA